AUGAAAAACGCUACCUACUCUAUCGUGUCCUGGAACGUUCGCGGUCUAGGAGAUAAUGAUAAGUGCUCUAAUGUGUUCUCUGAAAUCAAUGUCCUACGCCUAUCCAUUGCCCUUCUUCAAGAAACCAAAUUACAAAAACCAGACACAAUCAAACUAUGAUCGAUCUUGCCGCGCUUCCUAGACUCUAAUAACCACCUCGACGCAAUCGGAACGGCGGGCGGCAUUCUCUUGGCUUCUAACUCACGUUGCUUCUCGCUUCUCAACUGCCAACACAGGCGUUUCACAUCCACAUUAAUGCUAUCAUGUCUUGCAUCGCCACAUAAUAUCUUCAUCACUAAUGUCUACGCCCCCUCGCAACGAGAGCUAAAACUAGUCUUCCUUGACGAACUGAAACAGAUCGAACCACCACCUCAAUCUCCUUGGCUCCUAAUAGGUGAUUUCAACCUGACUCGAUUCCCCAAUGAACGCAACAACGACAACUUUAGACGAUCGGAGGCUGAUGCCUUUAACGACACCAUCGACCAACUUGCUCUCUUAGAGCUCCCGCUCCUUGAUAGAGAAUUUACCUGGUCAAACAAAAGACUAUCCCCCACGCUGAUUCGCCUAGAUAGGGUACUGAUCAAUCUAUCUUGGGAUGCUCUUUUCCCUAACUCACACCUCACCUCCCUCACUCGAUUUGUCUCUGAUCAUGUUUCACUCCUCGUCACCGUAUCCACAUCCGUCCCAUCUUUCCUCCUUUUUCGAUUUGAACAAUUUUGGACCUCCUUCCCAGCCUGUUCUAACAUUGUGGGCGGCUGCUGGCAGCCCGGCCCACAGCGCCACGGUGGGCGUUUCAUUGAUCCGGCGGCUUCGCUCGCUCAAAAAAUUAAGGUACAAGAUCGGCCCUAA
This 888-nucleotide ribosomal RNA is filed under the name Triticum aestivum (bread wheat). Its description in RNAcentral is "partial small subunit ribosomal RNA". The record is from RNAcentral. Lineage: Eukaryota; Viridiplantae; Streptophyta; Magnoliopsida; Poales; Poaceae.